GAAGAUGUGAGGCCAUGGGGAGGCAUUUUGGGCAAUGAUCUGAUAUUUCACGUUGAAUCAAUCUGAAGAGCAUUUAUUCCGUACACUUUACCUCCGUACUGCGGUGGAAUGAAAGAGGAUCAGACACCGCUGACAAAGUGAGGAACCAUCUGGGCGUCAAGUUCUGCAGAGAAAAGAUUUAGCUGGACCUGGUGGUGGACAAAACCUUUUAAUAGGGCAUAGAAUCCUGUUGUUUUCGUGAUGUAACCCAAGAGCUUCGCUUGUGGACAGAGACAAUGGGGGGUAUUUACUAGAGACAAGAUCCAGGAACCCGGUAUCUCCUUCCCUGACAUCCACUUUGUACAAGGCGUUGCAUUCGUGAGCAUUCCUGUGAAGUCAUGGCUUAUAUAAAAAGACCACGAGGGGGCCACAUACUACUCAGAACAUCAUCCUGUCUGGAUGCAGCAUCUUCCUUGUCCCAGCUAAAGCACUUCUCUGUGCUCACCCCUGUCCUAUCAGACUGCAGCAUGAAAACAGAGAGGAGGGGAUUACAGAGCAGCUUGCAUUGAUUGGCUGAAGAGACCAAGCACAGCACAGCAGACUCACGGAAGAAGAAGAGUCAGUCAACCAGAGAGAUCCAUAACAUGUAGAUAUAAGGGUUCAUGUUGCCCAUGUGCUUUUCUUCAAGUACAAAAGGAGAAGAGAGAAGAUGGAUUCUUUAUGAUAGAUUGGAAAAUUCAUGGUCAUUACGAUGCUUGACAUGAAGCUUUAAUAGGUUUUUCUUAAGAAUGAUCAUGAGGUCCCUAGGAACUAAUAUCGGAGGUGGUAGAGUAACCACCUUUUCUACCCAAAUAUUCUGUACCAGCCAGGUUUGUGUCUAUAAAGAAGGCAUACUUUGGGGACAUGACUUCCCACAGAGUGUGAUUUUUCUGAGAAUUAUUCAUUACUGUAGUUGUCAGGACUUUUUAUACAUUUAAGUACAGAGGCUAAAAGUCUAUGGACACCUUUAAAUGCAUUUUGUUUUUAUUAUUGCAUUGUAGUAUAUUGGUAUAAAAACAUUUAG
This is a long non-coding RNA of Hyla sarda, 1042 nucleotides long. RefSeq lists it as uncharacterized. The transcript has 5 exons. NCBI's taxonomy places the organism in Eukaryota, Metazoa, Chordata, Amphibia, Anura, Hylidae. The record is from RefSeq and is a predicted model, not a curated record.